Molecule: long non-coding RNA, 662 nt
Organism: Lynx canadensis (Canada lynx)
Lineage: Eukaryota; Metazoa; Chordata; Mammalia; Carnivora; Felidae
Exons: 5
Source: RefSeq, a predicted model, not a curated record
ACCAGCUAUCAUACUUUUCUUAUCUGGUACCCUUGCCCUCCUUCCUGCUUGGAGUGCAGACAGAAUGCCGGAAGUGCUGGAGGUCAGACAGUGACAAACACUCAAUAGCGACUGCUGGACAGAAAGAUAGAAAGUUCCUGAAUCCAUCUUGGCAUUGUAGAGUCACACAACAGCCCUGAACUGCCUACUCUGGACUUCACGUUAGCCAGGCGCACAGUAACUGGGGAGGUUCUCCCCAAGAGAGCAACUCGCCUUUGGAUGUCUUUCUCCAGUCCCAGCCAUGGUUCUUUGAUCACUUGAUGACAUUUGCCCACCUGCUUCCCAGGUUUGAAUCUCUUGGCCAUGAAGAAGAGAGUGGCACCAGUGAAAGUCGGACCUAAGGGAAGAAAAAAAAAGGUAAACCUCUACCCAGCCUGAUUUAAAAAAAGAAGAAAAAGAAAACACCAGUUACCAUGAUCAGGAAUGAGAGAAAGGAGAGUGAAAACAGCAUAGAACAGAUGGGACAAACAGAAACACAGGAGUAAGAAAGCAAAGCUGACCAAUCCAUAGCUGGCCUCUUAGAACAAGAUGUUAAUUGGCAAUGCUAUAUAAAAUUCAGAUGUAGGAAAAAGGGUAAAAAUCAAAGAAUCUACACCUUCCAUUUGGAAUUCCUGCAGCAGUUU